Triplophysa rosa is the source of this 5185-nucleotide RNA transcript. RefSeq lists it as uncharacterized. NCBI's taxonomy places the organism in Eukaryota, Metazoa, Chordata, Actinopteri, Cypriniformes, Nemacheilidae. The record is from RefSeq and is a predicted model, not a curated record. The transcript is spliced from 2 exons.
GAGUGGACGAUUGUAGCUGAGGAUGGUCCUGGAGCUGCUGUGUUGGAUCCAAAUAGAAAAGGCAAAGCUGGGGAGAAGGCUGAAGAGGUCGAGGCUGUGGGUUCUGGGGCAUAAGAUGCGCUCUCGAACGCAGCUAGCCUGGAUUCGACACCUUUCACGGGAUGAGACAGUACUUUAAUUGCCUGCAAUAUAUGGGUGUUCAUAUCGGCUGAGUCGAGUGUAGGAGAGGACGAUGUAUUUGCUGCGGAAGGCUUAAGUCAUUUAGUGGGUCUCGGAGAAGACAUCUUGGUUGUAUGCUUCCUCCCAGUUUGUUUCGGCCGAGCUGUGUUUGGUAGGAUGGAUAGAUCCUCGGCUGGAACGACGGGGUUGCCCAAGGUAUUCAAAGCGAGUGAGAGGAUAUCUUAUCUUGACAAUUCGUUGUCGACGGGGAUACCUGAAGCCUCUAAAGCAUUGAUGAUUUUAUCCGAGGGCCAUUGUGACCACAGAGGGUCCCCGUUCUGGAUUCUUGAGCUACUCCGCACUGUCGGAGGGGGAGAUUCGGCUACUUCAUCUUCCGAAUCGAUAAUGUCGCAGUCUACGAGGGGUUUUUGCGCCAUGCUUGUAUACAGGUGAGCGCUUACUUCGAUGUCUGCGAAUGAGAAGAGGGUGAGUACCGUACUUAUAUACUUCUAGGGUUAAGUGAUAAUUGGCUAGGACCGUACGUAGAAUGAUGACAUAACGUUUGAUUCUUCCCGGUAGAACUUGCGCUUAAGCUUACAUUUCCAUAAAACCCUCGUCAUCAUCUUAGAAUCUUGGCAUUCUAUUCGAUAGUAAUCUGUCAUUUGAGAGCCAUGUCACUAACACCUGUAAAAUUGCGUUUUUCCAUUUUAAGAAUAUAUCUAAACUACAUCAUAAGCUGUCAAUGUCAGAUGCAGAGAAGUUAAUUCAUGCAUUCAUGACAUCAAGACUAGAUUACUGUAAUGCACUGUUAGGUGGUUGCACUGCAGGCUUAUUACAAAAACUCCAACUGGUCCAAAAUGCGGCAGCUCGAGUUCUGACACAUACAAAAAAGUAUGAACAUAUUAGCCCGGUUCUGUCAACCACUACACUUCCAUAAUAUAAAUCUUCUGAGGGUUUAAGCUGCAUUAGUUAGAUCAACCGGAACCAGAAACACAACUGAUGUACUUGUUGCAUCAAAGAGUGCAGAACAGUACUCUACUCUCAGCCAGUCUUGUCUCAUUGUUCCAAGGUUACCACAGCGAGCAGGAUGCAGUUCAUGGCCAGACCUGAUGGUAGAGCAGAGAAUGGAAAGCGGCGACCUGACAAGAGCUGAGAUGAUAGAGCUGGAUAAAGAAGGACGCGGUCACUUGACACGUCUGCACCACAAAAUUUCAAAUGCUAUUAGAUUAUCAAUGUGUGAUGAUGUGGAGUUCACUACAUUACCCAUACUGCUUAGCGUAAGAGGGUGUUACGGUACAUACGGAUGUUAGGUGAGGAAUGUGCCGGUAGCCAAGUGUAUGUGACAUGUGAGCCUAACUCAGGCUGUGUUCUAAUAAAAUUAUUAUUUAUAUAUAACUGUGUGAAGUUAUAUGACAUGGUGUCAGAAGUGCGUCGUACUCGCUAACUCAAGUACCAGAAGAUGUCGAUGUUUCAAACUCCGGAGAAGUUUGACUUUAGUCAGCCCGCCACAUGGCCCACGUGGAUACAGCAUUUCAAGCGAUUUAGGAUUGCUACAAAGCUGGAUAAAGAGGACGAAGAGGUCCAAGUAAAUUCACUGAUGUAUGCUAUGGGGAAAGAGGCAACGACUAUAUUAGAAUCAUUUCGUUUCGUGAAUCCGGAUGACUCGGGAAAAUACGAAGAGGUAGUGGAAAAGUUUAAUGGACAUUUUGUGCCACGAAGGAAUGUCAUACAUGAGCGUGCAUGUUUUCAUCAACGUUCACAACAGCUGGGUGAAACGGUUGAAGCUUUCGUGAGAGGAUUUUACGAAUUGUCAGAAAACUGUGAGAUUGGAACACAGAAGGAUGAACAGAUCAGAGACAGAUUGGUGAUCGGAAUAAAUGAUCGUGGAGUGUCACAAAGGCUACAAAUGGAAAGUGAUAUGACCCUGGGAAAGGCAGUGAUACAGCCGGCAUCAAGCCCUGUCCAGCCGGCCUUCCAAGCAAGUCAAGCGGAACUUGUUAAAACUCAAAAUUCUGCAGAAACGACGUCCGCAGAAGUGGCGGAAUUGUACCAGAGGUCGCGCACAACAAAAACUACAGUACCGGUAAGGAAAGAAACACAAAGACACAGCAAGGACAUAGACACAAAGAAGAAAAGAUGUGUUCACGUGUGUAAUAAGCAUCAUAGACCAUGUGAAUGUCCAAUAAAUAAACAGUGUCUCAAAUGCAACAAACUAGGACAUUUUGCUACAGCGUGUUUUAGCAAAGCUGUUAGAGCAAUGCAUGUUCAAGAAGGAGCAGAGGAAGAAAAUGAGACAUACUUUUUGGACAGUAUCGAGAAAAGAGAAUCAGAAUCAGACUGGAUAGUGAGUCUUCCUGUAUGUGGAAAAGCAGUGACUUUUAAAAUAGACAGAGGAGCGGAUAUUACGAUUAUGUCCAAUGACACAUAUGAGAGUCUCCCACAACAGCCGUUGCUGAUGAAGACUUGUAUAAAGCUAAACAGUUCGGGUGGUUAUGUCAAAACACUGGGGAAAUUCUAUGCAGAGACUGCAAGAAAAAACGUGUUUUAUCAAUUCUGGAUUUACAUCAUGGAUGGAUGUUAUGCUAAUAAUCUACUUAGUAGAAGUGCAGCUUGUGCCAUGGGACUGGUGGCCAGAGCGGAUUACAUUCACGAGGAUGUGUUUGGGGAAAUUGGCUGUCUGAGUUGCGUGCCAGUAAAGAUUGAGCUGAAACUGGACGCACAGCCAUACAUUCUGACAACUCCCCGCAGGGUACCUUUUCCAUUGAUGAAGAAAUUUGAUGAGGAACUACAGCGGAUGCAAACAAUGCAGAUUAUACGAGAGGUGACACAGCCCACUGAUUGGUGUGCCCCGAUGGUCCCUGUAGUAAAGAAAAACGGAAGAGUAAGAAUUUGUGUAGAUCUUAAACAUCUCAACAAAGCUGUAAAAAGAGAAAAAUUCAUGCUGCCGACUUUGGAAGACAUUUCUACGAAACUGGCAGGAACCACAGUGUUUUUGACUCUCGACGCAUCAUCAGGUUUCUGGCAAAUUCCGCUGGACUCAAUGUUCAAAGUUCAAUGUUCACAACUUUCAUCACUCUGAGAGGCAGAUUUUGCUUCCAGAGGCUUCCUUUUGGGAUCACAUUAGCACCUGAGAUCUUCCAGAGGGAGAUGACAAAGCUACUGGAUGGACACGAGGGCUGUGUGGUAGUUAUGGAUGACGUCUUGGUAUGCAGUAAAGACAAAGAGAGUCAUGAUAAGAAUCUGGAGAAAGUAAUGCAGACGAUAAAAAAGUCAGGUCUAAAACUAAACAAAGACAAAUGUCAUUUCGGAAAGAAGGAACUUUGCUUCUUUGGACAUAUCAUCAGCAGUGAGAGGGUUAAACCUGACCCUGACAAAGUGAAAGCGAUCGCAGAUCUACCAUGUCCCAAAGAUGUCGCACAGCUUAGACAAGUGCUGGGAAUGGUGAAUUAUCUCGGAAAGUUUGUGCCUAAAAUGUCUACAACAUUGCACCCACUAAAUUAACUGUUAAAGAAGGAGUCAGCAUGGGUGUGGGAUGCGCUACAACAACAAGCGUUCGACAACAAAACUGUCAUCAGCUCAAUUGAAAUAUUCCCAGAUCGAGAAAGAAUGUCUGGCUGCAGUUUGGGCUUGCGAGAGACUUGCCUGUUAUCUCCUGGGUCUUGGUGAGUUUACACUACAAACAGACCACAAACCGUUGGUACCUCUGAUUAACACUUACAAUUUGGACAAAACUCCUGUGCGUUGUCAAUGUCUACUGAUGCGUUUGAUGCGGUUCAACGUUAAAGCUGUAUAUGUACCGGGAAAAUCACUGGUAGUGGCAGAUACACUGUCCCGUAAUCCACUGUCAUGUCAUGUCUAUUCUUGGUAUUGUGGCAGAGUCAUUGUUGACCUUUCGGCCUUCCAUACUCUCUCUCUCCGGUCCCGCCAUCUCGUUUCCUCGUUAACUUUCCCUGAGUGUUUUAUUACCCACACCUGCCACUUGCUAAUUAUCCUUUGUCUGUCUCCUUAUAUAAUACCCUCAUGUGUCAUUGUCCUGUGCUCGGUCAUUGUAUUCAGUUCGUCUUGUUGCUCGUCCAGUGUGUUACCAGUAUUGCAUGAUCCUGUUCCUGUCGUGCUGUUUCAUCGUCAGUCUAGUAAGUGUCCAGUUUAGUUUAUGUCUAGUGUUGUUAUCUCAGUUUACUGUAGUGUUAGUUAGUCCUCGUCCUGUUAUUUAUCGUGUUUGUUCUGUUCUACCCCCACGUGGGUGUUUUGUUUCUGUUUAUUGUUUGCAUUAAUAAAUGCCUGCAAUUGGGUUCUCCACACCUCACAUUUCAUGACAAAAAUGUCAGUGUGGUGGCCUGGAAUUGCAGCAGACCUCAAUGCCAAAGUUUCACAGUGUGUUUUUUGUCAAGUGCAUAAGCCCACACAAAGAAAGGAACCUCUUAUCACAACUUCACUUCCUCCUUGUCCAUGGCAAACCGUCGGAGCGGACCUGUGCGAGAAUGGAGGUAAAAACUAUCUAGUAGUAGUAGAUUUGUAUUCUAGAGACAUUGAAAUUGUUUGUUUACAUAUCACUAGUAGUCGCAGCGUAAUCUCCGCGCUAAAAGGAAUGUUUGUGAGAUGGGGAAUUCCGAGAGAAUUGCAUUCAGAUAAUGCUACCCAGUUCAGUAGUCUGGACUUCGCAGAUUUUUGUAAAACUUGGGGUGUUUAUCAUGUGACCAGCAGCCCUCACUACCCACAAUCGAAUGGUGCUGUUGAGAGAGCCGUGGGCACAGCGAAACACAUUCUGUGUCAGCCAGAUCCUCAUUUGGCUCUUUUGAGUUACAGAGCUACUCCAAUUGCAGCUACGGAGUGAGCCCUCCACAGCUAAUGCUGGGACGGCAGAUUCGUACUACAUUGCCUGUUCUGAAGAAAACAACAUCACAUCAGCAGAAAACGUCUUGGUUACGGAUGUAACCUCGGUUCCCUGAUGGAGGGAACGAGACGUUGUGUCGAACCGACAGAAUGGGGUUCGUCUUGAGAACCUAUCAUCUUCUGAGUAUUUAGA